UACGUAGGGGGCAAGCGUUAUCCGGAUUUACUGGGUGUAAAGGGAGCGUAGACGGCAGGGCAAGUCUGGAGUGAAAGGCAGGGGCCCAACCCCUGGACCGCUCUGGAAACUGUCCGGCUGGAGUGCAGGAGAGGUAAGUGGAAUUCCUAGUGUAGCGGUGAAAUGCGUAGAUAUUAGGAGGAACACCAGUGGCGAAGGCGGCUUACUGGACUGUAACUGACGUUGAGGCUCGAAAGCGUGGGGAGCAAACAGG
RNAcentral lists this ribosomal RNA (253 nucleotides) under uncultured bacterium. RNAcentral describes it as "partial 16S ribosomal RNA". It matches the Rfam family "Bacterial small subunit ribosomal RNA", at positions 524 to 776 of the family's 1533-position model. The record is from RNAcentral.